AAUCUAGGGGUGAAGAGGGGACUAAAAGGAAAAAAAAUUGGGUCCAUUAUUUAAAGGGAGGAGCCUAUUGUUCUCUUGCCCACUUAGUCGACGUCAACUAUUCUGCACCAGAGAAUCUUACAGCAAGCCUUGCAAAUUGAAUGGACGCUGAUCUCUACGGAAUGCCUUAAAUUCAGUUCGGGAGUUUGUAUCCGAAUUUUCGAACAAGAAACAAAAAAUCUGUACUCUUCUGUUAAGAUGUAUUGGGAGAUACCGAAUAGAUGCUAGAAAAGAAGGGCCAACGCUUCCUUCUUCAUCGUUCUUCCUCCACCAUCAGUAGAAUGGCAUCAUGUCCUGAUAAACCAAAAAACGUGCAAUUUUCAACUGCUGGAUACUCUGAUUCGAAGCCGGGCGUACACAGUUGAAGUGGUUCCAAACUAUCAAUCCCGGUUUGGAAGGCCGCUACGAACAAGAUUAGUUAUUUCACUUGAAGUAACGUUUAUGACGGGCCAUAUUCAACCAUUCCCCUUCUACUGUCGCACAGGGGAUCCACCAAACCACCGUCUAUUCGCUCUUUGUCUAAUACCUUGUACGUGGAAUUCCCGUCUUAUUACUACAAUCAAAGUUACAGCGUCUACUACACAAGUAUGCCGAAUACGGGAAUACCAUUUAUUCCAGUGCAAUUACAUUUUUCUGGAACAAACGUCAACCGCGAUGUUAGGUACGUGACGGUUGGAGCUCGGAGGGGCAAGUUAUGUACGACGAAGAAGAUAAUCCUCAAGGAAGAAUGAGGAUACACUCCAUAACACGCAAGUUAACGGUGCGAUUCUAGCCACCGACAGUGAUGACAAAUGGAAGGAAUUUUUCCUGGAAUGUCUAGUGUAUCUACCACUGAAUGCGAAGAAAAUUUUGUUGGAUUGUCUGGGACAAUCAAAAGCCUCAACUAUACUGCAAGAUAUCCAAAUUCUUCAGACUGUGGUUGGGCUAUUUUUACACCGCCGGACACGAAAAUUCGAUUGUUUUUUCCAACAAUUCAAAGGGAAGAAUCAUGGCUUAAUGUGUGAGUAUCGGAUUGUGGCACUGGAUGUUUGUGGAACAUAUCCCAUCAGAGGUAAAAAGUACACAAUAUGUUUGCUGAUUCAA
Long non-coding RNA from Daphnia magna, 1122 nucleotides. RefSeq lists it as uncharacterized. Lineage: Eukaryota; Metazoa; Arthropoda; Branchiopoda; Diplostraca; Daphniidae. The record is from RefSeq and is a predicted model, not a curated record. The transcript is spliced from 6 exons.